AGGCAGGCUAGCAAAGAAACAUAACUCAUCGUCUCACCGGCCUCCUCCCUCUACCACGCCUCCUCCGACCUCAUUGCCGCCGCCUCCGACCGCCUCUAUCUCCCUCCCUGCCUCAUUCGUCCUCUCCUUCCAAUCCUAGAAUCCGGUGUGUACUGUAAAAUGUUGGAAAAUGGGGAGGUAAGGGAGUUGCGUUUCUGCAGAUAAGAAAACUCUCAACCCUGAGCCCAAGGAAAAAAAAUUUCUGAUGGGGUUGAAGGACUUCAACCAUUAUGUCAUUACAUAGAUUUUGUUUUGGCUGGGAAUGGAAGAGAUGGCGUUUGUAGAUGAGGCUCAGCCAAAAGAGUGUGGAAUUCUAAUCCUAACGUAAAGUUAUGGGAACUAUUUAUCAUAUUAGAUCAUGAUGACUGUAAAUUGUGGGUGUUAAAUGUUGUCUGUUUUGUGGAACGACUAUAUGCAUGUAUCAUUGAUUUUAAAGAUCUCAUGUGUAAACUGUUUGUAAUUAAUUAUUAGUGAUGCAUGUUUCCUUGACAUUUACUUUCAUA
Molecule: long non-coding RNA, 542 nt
Organism: Argentina anserina (silverweed cinquefoil)
Lineage: Eukaryota; Viridiplantae; Streptophyta; Magnoliopsida; Rosales; Rosaceae
Exons: 4
Source: RefSeq, a predicted model, not a curated record